UUGUUCCUUGCAGGGGAGUUAGGUUAGAUGAUCUUUAAAGAUCCUUUUCAUCUCAAAUGAUUUUAUGAUGAUUCUGAGACUUGUUUCGUUCAGCUUCGUGACCAUGGUAUAUAUCACAUGAAAAGAUGAGCGUUUGUCUCCUCUUCAGCUUAGUUCACUUCUUUACAAUGAUAAGAUGAAGCAAAGUAAAGAUCAGCUGCAAGAAAGACUUGGAAGAGUAAAAAGCACCGAGCAGACCAGGAGCUAAGGACUUUUAUGAUUGAUAGACCAAACGUACCACCAUCUGAAGGGUAUAGCUCAGUAGCCAUUUUCAGAGCAUGACUACAGGAAAAGACCCUGAACUGCUGCAACUGUUCAUCUCAGAUUAUGUGAUAGGAAGAAGAAAAAGAAGAGGAAGAAAGAUAGGAAGAAGAAAAAACAUCAAAACAACAAAUAAAACCUAGCCUAGCUUUCCUCAUAUUGACCAAAUUAGGAUUCUUUUUCUGUGUCACGUAACAUUUAUCUUUUUAUAGAGCAGUGACAAUUAUAUGGCUUUUCCUUUGUCUCGUCUUGGCUAUACUGCGGUGAUUUGCAACAAAACUGAUGUUUAUAUAUUCAUUUUCACUCCAAGAGCAGGCUGCUGCUGUGUCUGAAAGAAACGUUUAAACUUCUCGUUUGUCAUUUUUCUAUUGUUUUUGGUUGGAUUUUUUUAUUUUUUUAUUUUUUGCUUUUUGGUGUUUUUUUUCCUAUGUCUCUUUUGUUGUUGUCUGUCAUAUUGGCUCCCUACUUCAGUAUUUAUUAUUCUUUACACUUUUUUUUUUCCCUACAGCACAGCAUUUCAUCUCAGAUGACUGUUUGACCACAGUGUUUCUCUGUAAAAGACGCAUGUAGCAGUUUUGAAAAGUCUACUUAGGUCUUACCACCUAUUUUAUCAGCUAAAAUGCUGAAGGUUAUGCUUAGAUUUCAUAUAUAUAUAUAUA
This 959-nucleotide long non-coding RNA is filed under the name Gallus gallus (chicken). RNAcentral describes it as "lncRNA (ENSGALG00010014110.1)". Lineage: Eukaryota; Metazoa; Chordata; Aves; Galliformes; Phasianidae. The record is from RNAcentral.